CCUCGGGAUUCCCUAGUACGGCGAGUGAAGCGGGAAGAGCUCAAAUUUGAAAUCUGGUAGCCUUCGGUUGCCCGAGUUGUAAUCUAGAGAAGUGUUUUCCGUGCCGGCCCAUGUACAAGUCCCUUGGAACAGGGCGUCAUAGAGGGUGAGAAUCCCGUCCUUGACAUGGACCCCCGGUGCUUUGUGAUACACUUUCAACGAGUCGAGUUGUUUGGGAAUGCAGCUCAAAAUGGGUGGUGAAUUCCAUCUAAAGCUAAAUAUUGGCGAGAGACCGAUAGCGAACAAGUACCGUGAGGGAAAGAUGAAAAGCACUUUGGAAAGAGAGUUAAACAGUACGUGAAAUUGUUGAAAGGGAAACGAUUGAAGUCAGUCAUGCUCUUGGGACUUACCUCCCUUGAGUGGGGUCAACAUCAGUUUUGAUCGAUGGAUAAAGGCACUAGGAAGGUAGCACUCUCGGGUGAACUUAUAGCCUAGCGUCAUAUACAUUGAUUGGGACUGAGGAACGCAGCAUGCCUUUUGGCCGGGAUUCGUCCACGUACAUGCUUAGGAUGUUGACAUAAUGGCUUUAAACGACCCGUCUUGAACCCCCGGGACCA
RNAcentral lists this ribosomal RNA (596 nucleotides) under Naganishia albida. RNAcentral describes it as "partial large subunit ribosomal RNA". It matches the Rfam family "Eukaryotic large subunit ribosomal RNA", at positions 65 to 668 of the family's 3401-position model. Lineage: Eukaryota; Fungi; Basidiomycota; Tremellomycetes; Filobasidiales; Filobasidiaceae. The record is from RNAcentral.